GGGGAAUAUUGCACAAUGGGGGAAACCCUGAUGCAGCGACGCCGCGUGGAGGAAGAAGGUCUUCGGAUUGUAAACUCCUGUUGUUGAGGAAGAUAAUGACGGUACUCAACAAGGAAGUGACGGCUAACUACGUGCCAGCAGCCGCGGUAAAACGUAGGUCACAAGCGUUGUCCGGAAUUACUGGGUGUAAAGGGAGCGCAGGCGGGAAGACAAGUUGGAAGUGAAAUCUAUGGACUCAACCCAUAAACUGCUUUCAAAACUGUUUUUCUUGAGUAGUGCAGAGGUAGGCGGAAUUCCCGGUGUAGCGGUGGAAUGCGUAGAUAUCGGGAGGAACACCAGUGGCGAAGGCGGCCUACUGGGCACCAACUGACGCUGAGGCUCGAAAGUGUGGGUAGCAAACAGGAUUAGAUACCCUGGUAGUCCACACCGUAAACGAUGAUUACUAGGUGUUGGAGGAUUGACCCCUUCAGUGCCGCAGUUAACACAAUAAGUAAUCCACCUGGGGAGUACGACCGCAAGGUUGAAACUCAAAGGAAUUGACGGGGGCCCGCACAAGCAGUGGAGUAUGUGGUUUAAUUCGACGCAACGCGAAGAACCUUACCAAGUCUUGACAUCCUGCGACGAUGCUGGAAACAGUAUUUUCCUUCGGGACGCAGAGACAGGUGGUGCAUGGUUGUCGUCAGCUCGUGUCGUGAGAUGUUGGGUUAAGUCCCGCAACGAGCGCAACCCUUACUGUCAGUUACUACGCAAGAGGACUCUGGCAGGACUGCCGUUGACAAAACGGAGGAAGGUGGGGAUGACGUCAAAUCAUCAUGCCCUUUAUGACUUGGGCUACACACGUACUACAAUGGCGUUAAACAAAGAGAAGCAAGACCGCGAGGUGGAGCAAAACUCAGAAACAACGUCCCAGUUCGGACUGCAGGCUGCAACUCGCCUGCACGAAGUCGGAAUUGCUAGUAAUCGUGGAUCAGCAUGCCACGGUGAAUACGUUCCCG
This 995-nucleotide ribosomal RNA is filed under the name uncultured bacterium. Its description in RNAcentral is "bacterial SSU rRNA". It matches the Rfam family "Bacterial small subunit ribosomal RNA", at positions 356 to 1376 of the family's 1533-position model. The record is from RNAcentral.